This 458-nucleotide unclassified non-coding RNA is filed under the name uncultured Glomus. RNAcentral describes it as "SSU rRNA". It matches the Rfam family "Eukaryotic small subunit ribosomal RNA", at positions 569 to 1033 of the family's 1831-position model. The record is from RNAcentral. Lineage: Eukaryota; Fungi; Glomeromycota; Glomeromycetes; Glomerales; Glomeraceae.
GGCAGCCGCGGUAAUUCCAGCUCCAAUAGCGUAUAUUAAAGUUGUUGCAGUUAAAAGCUCGUAGUUGAAUUUCGGGGUCUGUCCGUCGGUCGGGCUUCACGGUCCGUACUGGUGUGAUGGGUUCCUACCUUCUGAAUAACCGGCAUGCCAUUCAGUUGGUGCGCCGGGGAAGCAGAGCUAUUACCUUGAAAAAUUAGAGUGCUUAAAGCAGGCUAGUGCUUGAAUAGAUUAGCAUGGAAUAAUAAAAUAGGACGGCAUGGUUCUAUUUUGUUGGUUUCUAGGAUCACCGUAAUGAUUAAUAGGGAUAGUUGGGGGCAUUAGUAUUCAAUUGUCAGAGGUGAAAUUCUUGGAUUUAUUGAAGACUAACUUCUGCGAAAGCAUUUGCCAAGGAUGUUUUCAUUAAUCAAGAACGAAGUUAGGGAUCGAAGACGAUCAGAUACCGUCGUAGUCUUAACCAU